CGUGCGCGCGCGCACAAUAAUAAAAACCGCGUACGCACGGAGAGCGUAUUUUUUCGUGCGUCGCGCGGGCCCAACGUAUUCGAGCACUCGGAUGAAUUUCGUUCGGUCGUGUUUGCGCAGAAUGUGUACAAGAGAACACGCUCGUGUGUACGCGCGCCUUAACGUUAUGUAACGCGCACGAGGCUUGUUUUGCUGCCCGCUCGGUCCCAAGUUGGCUGUUGGAUCGGACGUUCUGAAGAAAAAAAAAGAAAAAAAAUACGUAAAACGUGUAAUCAUUUAUUCGAAUUCAUAUGGUGUUCGGUUUUGAUUUUUAAACAAAGUUCCGUACAUGUGUACAGCUUUUCCGUCCAGAACAAUUGACCGGUGGCGAAGACAACGCGCAGCUGAUAACUGCGCUCGUGGCCAUUGCAUUGUUGGCAAAGAAAUUAUUGACUGGAUCGUAUUCGAAAUCUAAUAUUUUCAUUGUUACGAACAAUUCACUGUCGGUGAAAUGACCAUGAAACGCAUGUUGUCCACUACAACGGUUAUUGCUGAAGCACGGGCUCGUUGGUGGAGGUACGGAAGAGGCAGAAUUUUCAGAAGCCAGAGAAGAUUUAGCUACGUUGGAAAAAUAUGACGAAGAAGAGGGCGCUUGGAUUCAGUCGAAGUAGAGAUUGUGAUAAUACUGGAGAAAAGUUUUAACGUUUAAAAUUCGUAUAAAUCACAAGUAUGUCGAGUCUAACGUUUUGUUCCUCGACAAAUGUUAUUUCAACAAAAUAUUUAUCCGCACGAAAAAAAAAACAAAUGUAGGUACCUAUUGUUAGCUGUUAAAAACAAUUAGGUGCAAUAUAAGUGUUCAAAACACUGCGGGGGUUCUACGUAAUAUUUUCUUAUUAAUUUAGGGCUGUUCGUCGUUGCGGAGCUAUGAUACGACCGCGGAUGUGGCGUUGUUUCCGUCUGGACGGAUAUUGUAAUUGUUGCGGCUUUCGCGGGGCACGUAGUAACCGUUCGGAUGAGUUAUUUAUUUGUUUACAAUAAUAACAGAGUCAAAGAAAAAAGCGCAUCGAACGUGAACUCAUUCACGAGUCACAAGUACGCGCGUCAUUCGUGUCCAGACAGUGCAGCGCGCGGCCGGAGUGCAAACAACGAUUUGUGCGCGUCGUGGAACACGUAUAACACCCCAUACGCGUGUUCGUAUGUACAACCGCACCGCAGGCGCAAUCGGCAACAAUAAAAAUCGAACGAAACCGGAAAAGACGAGGCAUCGGGAUUUCGAAUCGUUUGGAAAAAGCGCGUGACGGAGCGGUUGUACGGACAGAGGUGAUAAUCGCAUUGCGGUGCGGCUACAACGAAAAUAAAACAAUAACAACGUUAUCGACAGACACGGACGGGCGCGGCGCGGGAAAGAUAAAAUGUCAGAAAUACGACCUUGAGGGUUUAAGGUCGUCGACGGAUAAAAGGUCAACGGCGUCCUCGCGUGUACGCCGCCACGCGAGGAUAUCGGUGUUCGUCAAUGGUUCACGACUCCGAGCGCGGCGCGCGAGUUUUUCGGGGGAUGGCGAGGGGUGGCGAUGACCGAAGCGCGCGAACCGAUAAACGAGUAGAAACAAAAAAUAAAUGUAAUACCGGAGCGCAACGGAAAUCCUUUGCACGUUGACGUCGGUUCGCGUAGCCUGCCGGGACGCGCACAUGCGUCGUUCAAGAGUCGCUAAUCUCGCGCGCCGGACGGCGGUGCAAGGAAACAGUUGGGCGACGGGUGGCUACGCGAGGUGCACACAACACAGAUGGCGUUGCAGCGCGUAAAUAUCAUAUUAUUAUUAUUAUUAUUAUUAUUUCCCAUUCUGUUGCGGAACACGCGGCGGCCGAGAGCGCUCGGUGCCGCCCUCCCAUCGCGCCGCGAUGUCAUACCCAGACGACCUUCAUCUUCGUUCCCGUUCACCCUACCCGCGCGCGUACACCGCUCGCCCGUGCGUCGUGCAUUAAGCGCACUCGCCGCUUGUUUUGCUGCUCGGUCCCGAGUCACCUAUAUUUAAACUCUAUACUGAUUAUCUGCUGCACAACCAGUGUCGUUCGACGGUACUACACAAAAUUGUGCGACCACGUUGCUUAGUGGUAACACUUUACCGCCAACCAAUUCGAAGACGAGAACCGGUAUACACACUGUUCUGAACAGCCCAAGUGGUUAUUAUGUUUCUAUUAUCGUAUUGCCGUUCGGACAAUUUAUCAACCUAAGAUUGAAAAAACAAAAACCGUGGAUCACGGAUACAUUAUUCGACUGCCUGUGUUGUUAUACAAAGAAAAUUCAUACCUAAACCGUUCUAAUCUUAUAAUGUAAUUCAUUUUCCAGAACCUGCUGAAAAGCGGUUGGCAUUGUUUCAGAACAUGAAAUAUUCGGGUAGUCACCGAAAAAGAAAAUAUUGCUCGAGUGUUAUACAAAUAGUCAUCAACUACGGUAAAACUAGAAGUUAGAAUUUUGAACGAGAAAUACAAAAUCUGAUAUUUGAAGAACAAAAAUACAAAAAUUACAUAAAAGCAAAAUUUAAAUUGAUAGGGAAACCGCUUGUAAAGGAUUAACAGAAUUUCGUCAACAAUAGUCCUGAUAUUAAGUAUUCGAUGAAUUACGGAAAUGGUAAAAGAAUUGUUAGAAUUUCUUUUCAAUCAAAUUAUUGAACAUAGUAAUGUUGGAAUUUCAAUCAGAAAUUCAAAUUCCAUAUCUUCAUUUUAUUUAACUACAA
Long non-coding RNA from Sipha flava (yellow sugarcane aphid), 2714 nucleotides. RefSeq lists it as uncharacterized. The transcript is spliced from 3 exons. NCBI's taxonomy places the organism in Eukaryota, Metazoa, Arthropoda, Insecta, Hemiptera, Aphididae. The record is from RefSeq and is a predicted model, not a curated record.